This 482-nucleotide ribosomal RNA is filed under the name uncultured bacterium. Its description in RNAcentral is "bacterial SSU rRNA". It matches the Rfam family "Bacterial small subunit ribosomal RNA", at positions 28 to 507 of the family's 1533-position model. The record is from RNAcentral.
GACGAACGCUGGCGGCGUGCCUAACACAUGCAAGUCGAGCGGAGAUGAUGUGAGGAAGUUUUCGGAUGGAAUCACAUUAUUUUAGCGGCGGACGGGUGAGUAACGCGUGAGCGACCAACCUUGCACAGGGGGAUAACGGACCGAAAGGUUCACUAAUACCGCAUGAGACCACGGUGUUGCAUGACACAGAGGUCAAAGGAGCAAUCCGGUGCAAGACGGGCUCGCGUCCGAUUAGGUAGUUGGAGGGGUAACGGCCCACCAAGCCUAUGAUCGGUAGCCGACCUGAGAGGGUGAUCGGCCACAUUGGAACUGAGAUACGGUCCAAACUCCUACGGGAGGCAGCAGUGGGGAAUAUUGGGCAAUGGGGGAAACCCUGACCCAGCAACGCCGCGUGAAGGAAGAAGGUUUUCGGAUUGUAAACUUCUGUCCUUGGUGAAGAGAAGAAGACGGUAGCCAAGGAGGAAGCCCCGGCUAACUACGUG